Molecule: long non-coding RNA, 1865 nt
Organism: Fukomys damarensis (Damara mole-rat)
Lineage: Eukaryota; Metazoa; Chordata; Mammalia; Rodentia; Bathyergidae
Exons: 3
Source: RefSeq, a predicted model, not a curated record
UCCUGUUUCCUUAGACAAAAGUCAAAUCGUGUGAUGGGUUCUUUCUGACCCUUUCUUGGUCACAGCUGUGGUUCCCUGUGGUGUCCCUCCUCCUCUGUUGUGAUGAGUAGUGCAGGUGUAUAUCGGGAUCAGUCAGUCCCCUGACCUGCCGAGAAAGGGGUGUGCAGUGAGUUCUAAUGAAAGAAAGACAAAGAGACAGAAUUUCAAAGUACAUGGGUGGCUGGGACUUUGCCAGAGUGGGCAAAGACAAAGACACUCCAAGCUGGCCACAACCUGUUGGGCACACAGUUAUCCGAGGUAUCGGGUGACUCACAGGACAGCUGCUGAUUUUAUGUUGAUGAGGACAGGGAGACGGGCAAAGCAUCCUUACAAUAGUAGGUGGAAUGAGAUAGCAGACUAAUAAUUUGUUCUUCCCUCAGGUGAAACCUUUCUCUUUUUUUAUUACUGCUUGGUUCUCAAGGAAGCAGGAUGUCUUCAACUGAUGUAAUGUUGCCCUUGGGGGACACAGCAUUACUGAUCCAUUGAGGCCUCAACUUCUGACUGGAGGUACACGGAGUUAUGUAACCACAUACAACAGCCAGCUGGAGGGAACCGGCCUCCUUUGCCCGUUUCCCUUCUGGGAAUUGCUCGCUUUUGAAGCCCAGCCAAGCCCGGGAUCCUGUCUGACGCCAGCCACUCCCACGUUUGUACACGUCUGCGAGCAGUCUGCAGGAAGCUCAACUCCUUCUCCCUGGCCGCUGGGUUUGGACUGUGUUCCGCGUCUCUUACUGUGUCCUCCACGGUCCAUUUUAUAACUAUUCAGGGCCCACAGGAGGCGAAGGCAUUCUUCUCUGGCCCCCAGAGCUCCUGGAGGUCCCAGUGGGGACAUCGCUACCUGCUGGAAGUCUCAGGUCUGGUGUCUCCACGGAGUGUUAUUCACCUUACCUCACUGCCCUGCAUCCGACCACCAGACAGUGAGGUCCCAAGGACAGUGACUCGCUUACAAAUUGCUUCAGCUUGCUGCUUCUCCAGUGCACGCAUGCAGGUACGAAUGAAUGAGUGAAUUAUUUCUCUGUCUCCUGCUGCUCAGCUUUCUGUUGCUCGUCCUUUUUAUACCCAGGUCUGGUUUAGGACAAAGCCUGUUCGGUUUUAGGAGCACUCAUCUUUGCUUGGAUCACACAAGGAGAGACAGGAGGGGCAGAAAGCAGCCAGCAGAACUCCAGCCAGGCGCCAAACCUGUGUGUCUUAGUGUUCUAAGUACAUAAAAAAAAUGCUGCUGUAUCCACAGACCAACAAUUAUCUCAUUAAAUAAUUCCUCAGACCUUGAUUUAACUGUUAAGAAAGAUGUUUUGAUAAAGAACAUCUGCUGUUGUUUCCAAGUAAAUAUUGUACCACUAAACUUUGAUUAAAAACUGGCUUAAAAAUUUAAUAGCCCCUCUGUAGAAGACGGCUAACUGCAAAAAGAAAAAUGUCACUUAUUUAAAUUGGUUUCUUCCCCUCCUUUGUUGCUCAAUUUCAACUGGGUUCCCAUAAUGAUGGCUUAAAACCCACGCAAUUUUGGAUGCAGUAAAUUGAGAUGCAUAAAUAAGAUUACCAUACCAAUACUGCUGUUUUCACUCUUUUCCUAUUGAUAUCUCAUUUCAGUUUUAUGCUUUAAUUAAAUUGAGUGUAUUUUAUGUUCCAGUUUGCUUUAAAACAACUGCAGUGCAUGUAAUUGACACUAUUUCAUCUCUGUUAGAAAGUGCUGAGUUGGAUCAAAUAUACUAGUUCCAUUUCCUUUUAUGUUUAACCUGUGGAAAAACUAAGACAGAAAUAAUAAGAAAUUGUGUUUCUUUUCCAAGUUUCUCUGUUAGGUGAGAAUAACGACUUAGUAAUUACUAAUAAAG